Molecule: ribosomal RNA, 253 nt
Filed under: uncultured bacterium
Lineage: Bacteria
Description: partial 16S ribosomal RNA
Rfam family: Bacterial small subunit ribosomal RNA
Source: RNAcentral
UACGGAGGGCGCAAGCGUUGUUCGGAAUCACUGGGCGUAAAGCGCGUGUAGGCGGCUUGGUAAGUCGGGUGUGAAAGCCCGGGGCCUAACCCCGGAACUGCACUCGAAACUGCCUCGCUCGAGUCCCGGAGAGGAUGGUGGAAUUCCCGGUGUAGUGGUGAAAUACGUAGAUAUCGGGAGGAACACCAGCGGCGAAGGCGGCCAUCUGGACGGUGACUGGCGCUGAGACGCGAAAGCGUGGGGAGCAAACAGG